RNAcentral lists this ribosomal RNA (491 nucleotides) under uncultured bacterium. RNAcentral's name for it is "partial 16S ribosomal RNA". It matches the Rfam family "Bacterial small subunit ribosomal RNA", at positions 29 to 507 of the family's 1533-position model. The record is from RNAcentral.
AGUGAACGCUGGCGGUAGGCCUAACACAUGCAGGUCGAACGGCAGCACAGUAAGAGCUUGCUCUUACGGGUGGCGAGUGGCGGACGGGUGAGGAAUACAUCGGAAUCUACUUUUUCGUGGGGGAUAACGUAGGGAAACUUACGCUAAUACCGCAUACGACCUACGGGUGAAAGCAGGGGAUCUUCGGACCUUGCGCGAUUGAAUGAGCCGAUGUCGGAUAGCUAGUUGGCGGGGUAAAGGCCCACCAAGGCGACGAUCCGUAGCUGGUCUGAGAGGAUGAUCAGCCACACUGGAACUGAGACACGGUCCAGACUCCUACGGGAGGCAGCAGUGGGGAAUAUUGGACAAUGGGCGCAAGCCUGAUCCAGCCAUACCGCGUGGGUGAAGAAGGCCUUCGGGUUGUAAAGCCCUUUUGUUGGGAAAGAAAAGCAGCAGGUUAAUACCCCGCUGUUCUGACGGUACCCAAAGAAUAAGCACCGGCUAACUUCGUG